Molecule: ribosomal RNA, 386 nt
Filed under: uncultured bacterium
Lineage: Bacteria
Description: bacterial SSU rRNA
Rfam family: Bacterial small subunit ribosomal RNA
Source: RNAcentral
GGACCCGCACAAGUAGUGGAGCAUGUGGUUUAAUUCGAAGAUACGCGCAGAACCUUACCAACACUUGACAUGUUCGUCGCGACUCUAAGAGAUUAGAGUUUUCGGUUCGGCCGGACGAAACACAGGUGCUGCAUGGCUGUCGUCAGCUCGUGUCGUGAGAUGUUGGGUUAAGUCCCGCAACGAGCGCAACCCUCACUUUUAGUUGCCAUCAUUAAGUUGGGCACUCUGAAAGAACUGCCAGUGAUAAGCUGGAGGAAGGUGGGGAUGACGUCAAGUCCUCAUGGCCCUUACGGGUUGGGCUACACACGUGCUACAAUGGUAGUGACAAUGGGUUAAUCCCCAAAAACUAUCUCAGUUCGGAUUGUCGUCUGCAACUCGACGGCAUG